AUACGGCGUCGUUUGGGCACUGAGGGCACUAACCCAAAACGGCGCCGUUCUCUUUUAAUAUUUAAAUCAAAAUUUUUCUCAAAAAAAAAAAACAUUUCCAUUUCAUUUUUUUAAGAGGAAAGCAGAGGGGAGGGGGAGUCCUCUGCUAGGGUUUUAUACCCUGCCCGAGCCGCUGCCAUGCCCACCGUGGAGCCACCGCGAACCGUGCUCGAAGCCAGGAGCAUGCUUGGAGGGGCACGCGCGUGGAGAGGCCUGGUUUCCUGUUGCGGCGCACGUGGGAGGGCUGGAGGAGCGGCGGCUAAAGGGUUUCAGAAACCUUAGGGAUUUCAGGAGCGUUCUUCAAGUCAGCUAGGGUUUAUUGGGCUUGGGGUUGUUUUGGGUUUUAGGUAUUGCGUCGUUUGUUUGGGCUGUAUUGUUUUGGGGCAUUGGUCUUGCUGACAUUGGGCCAUACAAGCCUAUUGUAAUUGGACUACUUGUUAUUGGACUUUCAUUUUAUUUGGUUUUUUAUUUGUUGAA
This is a long non-coding RNA of Gossypium raimondii (Peruvian cotton), 516 nucleotides long. RefSeq lists it as uncharacterized. Lineage: Eukaryota; Viridiplantae; Streptophyta; Magnoliopsida; Malvales; Malvaceae. The transcript has 2 exons. The record is from RefSeq and is a predicted model, not a curated record.